This 9244-nucleotide long non-coding RNA is filed under the name Sus scrofa (pig). RNAcentral's name for it is "lncRNA (ENSSSCG00005032445.1)". Lineage: Eukaryota; Metazoa; Chordata; Mammalia; Artiodactyla; Suidae. The record is from RNAcentral.
CUAGGGCCACACCUGCGGCACAUGGAGGUUCCCAGGCUAGGGGGCCAAUCGGAGCUGUAGCUGCUGGCCUACACCAGAGCCACAGCAACAGGGGAUCCGAGCCGCGUCUUCGACCUUCGACCACAGCUCACAGCAACACUGGAUCCUUAACCCACUGAGUGAGGCCAGGGAUCAAACCUGCAACCUCAUGGAUCCUAGUCAGAUUUGUUAACCCCUGAGCCACGACGGGAACUCCCAACUUUUUUUUUUAAAGGCCAAAUCUUCCACAUAUGGAAGCUCCUGGGCCGGGGAUUGAAUCUAAGUUGCAGCUCUGAUCCAUGCAGCAGCAGUGGCAAUGCUGGAUCCUUGAACCCAAUGUGCCAGUCAGGGGCUCGAACCUGUGCCUCUGCAGCAACCUGAGCCUCUUAACCCACUGUGCCGCAGAUUUCAUCGUAUCUUUUUUUUUGGGGGGGGGGGGUUGGGCUGUCCCCAGAUGUGGUGGGUGGAGAUACUAUGUCAGGGGGAGGGCAAAGUACAGAGCAGCCAGCCUGGAGUCAGGACGGAGUGGGACUGACUGAUGAAACACCCCAGAAACUGCUGGUCUCUGGACUUCUCAUUUUAUGAGGUCAUUAAAUAUCCUUUACUGUUAGAGCCAUUUUUUAGUCAUUGCUUGCAACAGAAACUAUCCUGAUUUUUUUAAUUAUCAAAACAAACUAUUUGGCCAUAAGUACUUGAACUCAGUGCCUUGGUUUUGAGACUAAGCAUUAAAUGCUUUCUUUCCUACCGAUAAGAAGAAGAAAAAGUCAUGCAUUAGUUAUUUCCUUUAGGAUGGAUGACUCAAGAGAUAAGAAACUUGCUCUUUUUCCAAAACAGCAAACACGGUUUCUUUUUAAGUACAUGAAACUCUUCUUAAAACCCUCCUAGAGUUGUUUUCAAAAUGAAAUUUUAUACACCUCUUUCUUUUUUAUUGGUAAAAUCUUGUUACUUUCACAAAAACUCUACUUCAAUAGAUGUAUUAGGGAAUUAUCAACGCACAGCUUACUUGCUGUGAGGACAGAAAAGAAGUAGGCCCACAUGAAAAGAAUGCAUUUUCUUGAAAAUAAAGAUAAAUUAACUAAGAAAUUACUAGUUUUUAAUAAAUCAUCUCCUUAGUGAAUAACUCACCCUUCUGGUAAAAUAUUUACCAUGCUCUUUAAAACCUUUUUAAUCAACUGAAACACUCAGGAAGCUUUCAAUGAUUGGCUAUCCUUUCGUGGCUGAAGAGUUGAAAAGGUUUUUUGUUCAAGUGCAUUUUAAUAAGCAGCAAAUUGAUUUAAAAUGAUUCAAGCCUUGGUGGAGUGAGGGCUCUUCACGCUCAGCUCCUUGGACCCGAAAGGUCAUCUCUGGUCCUAUGCGCCCACGUUCUGGGUAAUUAAGAAUCAAUUCCUUUUAAAUUACCUUAGGACCGGCCCUGGCCAGAGUGACUCAGAGUAAGAAUAUUUUCCCUGCUGCCUCGUUUCUCCGUGCAGUGUUUUCCUGUGUAGGAAAUAAGAUAACAAAACAAACUGGAGAACUGACCGCAGAGACGGAUCCCCAGCCCCUGUCCCAUGGGUACUGGAUCAGGGUCUCCCCAAGUCGCUGAAUUGGCAUGGCAAUCGUGCCCCAGGGUCUUGUGUUUCGACUCUGGGCAGGGCCUGGGAAUAAUGCUUCUAACAAGUUCCCAGGGGAUUCGGCUGCCAUUGAUUGGCUGGGGAACCACAUUAGAAGAACCACUGUCCUGGGGUAACUCUCUCUGAGGGACAAAAAUGCUCUCGAGGUUAUGUUUGUUUAAACCCAAGGCAAUUCCCUGUGCUCAGACCAAAAUGUGAAAAAUAGUGUCAGUAGCCUGCAGAAGAAUGAAUAUUGUUGGCGCCUUGGUGAUCUGGUAGACGGUCGGUGUGAAGGAGUUACACAGUCCAGAGCAGAACAGUCGUUUGGUCCCAACGAAGGAAACGCAGAGUAUCUUCCUGGUGCGAAAUCUGGCAUCAGGCAGACGGAGGACCACGUGAAGUUAAUUUCGAAGACUCCCUCCCCAGCUCAUGAUAUUACUCAGCACAACAAAAGCUUCUUUAAGGUCUGCACCUGCUGCACAGUAAAUUGUUAAAGUCUUACUAACGGACCUUGCCCAGAAUUGUUCUGGAAUACAGAUCAGCUUGAAUAGACCGAAGAAAUUUCUCGCAGUUCGUGGGGAGGAAAAAUGUUCUCCAUCUGUGAGGCCAGAAAUACUGGCUCAGCUGCCCUGGGGCGGGGGCAGGGGUGUCCUACAGGCUCAACCCCCAGGCUCCGCUGUUCCUUCUGGGGAGGCCGGAGUUGAGUCACAGAUCACUGUGAGGCCUCGUCUGCGCUGCAGAAAAUGAGUUUGACCCAUGGAAAGAAUCUUACCCUAUUUCCUUUGGAUGAUGCUGGUAUAAAAAUGCAUGCUUCACACAAUCAACCUUUCGGACAAAGGAUUCUGACAGAAGGUCUGGCCACAGUGAUGAGGGCAACAUGGACCCCAAAGCCCGUCCGCCUUUUUGAAAUUCUGCUGGUAAGACAGCCUAAUUUUGACAGCUGGUUUCAAGUCUUUCUCGUUAAGAUUCUUAAUUAUGGGGCCAAUGAAUACAAGUUCUGAUUGAGGAGCAUCUGAGGUUGGCUGGCAUCAGAGCUGUCUGCCUAUCCAGGGGGUCAUCUGAUUUCUUUGGGGGAUGUUGUUUUGCAGUUUUUCCAGCUUUAAAAUCUGUGUCCCAGACCUCUCCCAGCCUUCUGUUCCAGCAAGAAUUUGGGCCCGUCUUUUGGCCUCGACAGGAUUUUGGAACAGAACCAGUUAAGUGGUCUUCUAGUCUCAGGAGAAUGUAUCAUUAAAAGAAACAAUCACAUUCUUUAAAUUUCCACAAAUGACUUUUCUGAUGAUUAUCUAAAGCCCAUUCACUGACUUUUCUUCUGCCUAAGAAGGCUGUGGUUUUAAGAUAUUUAAUAUUUAAAGUUUCUUGCUGGAAACACUGGGUUUUGAUGGCUACGUCUCAAGACCCAUACACGCUGAGAGACAGCAAGGCCCCAGCAACGGUUUAAGCAAUGGGCUUGGAAGGGCUGAUUCAAGGGAGACAGGUUCCAGCUGGAAACCUCUUCGAUGUCAGGGACCUUUGGAAGCUCCGAGGAAUGGAGACAGUGAGGGUGGAGCCCCCGUCUGCGUCCAGCAGGGCGGGCAGGCUCUGGAGUAAACGGGAAGAUGAACCUGGCUGACAAGACAUCACCUGUCAGGGGUCAGAGAUCCUUCUGUUCUCACCGCAGUGGCACUAAGCAGCCACUAAGGCAAAAAUGACACGUGAUUUGAAUGGAAGACCCCAUCACUGAGCCAGUCUUGACGGCGCAGGUUGCAGGUCAGGUGAGCUGGCUGCCAGGUGGUGGCUGCACGGGUCCCUUUUUAAGGCUCUGUACUCACUGUCGUCUCUUUAAUGAGGAGACCUGACAAGCAAAGAAGCCAGUGGGGGAGGGGCUCUUUUUUCCUCCAAAGUAGGUCUCAAGGGAUAAUUUUUGACUGAGGAAAUGAACGUGCCAACCAGUAGUCAGCAUUCCCCAUGGUUUGUCAAGGUGAACAUUUGAGAAACUGAACUGGACCUGUUUCUCUGUUUGUUUCCAAAUAACUUAGGGGGGAAAAAAGAUGCUAGCCCAGGAGCACAUUUCUCCUAGCCCUGGAUAGUGUAACUCUGAAAAUUACUCACAUCAAGCAUGUGUAUUAUUCACCUUAGGUGAUGUGGAAACUGAAUUUCAAGCUCCACUGAGGUAGCAGGUUGUUGAUUUCAGACAGCCCGGCCGUGGGCAAUCGCAGCUCUCACCACUAUGUGGGCCAAACAGCUGGGACAUGGAGCACUGUGGUCCCACAGCUGUGGGUGGCGAUUCCAGGGUCACUGCCUUCCAGCUGUGGGACCCCCGUCAAUUGUCCCCUGGAACUGGGUUCUUUCUGACUCUCAUGAGGAUUAAGCCAAAUAACACAAACAGAAGGCUUGCACAGCACAGUGGUUCACAACACGCACUUUCAUAGGGGCUAGUAGCUGUGACUCAUCGUUAACUGUUGCCAGCUAAUUUUCAGGGCUGGAUCUGACAACGUCUUGUGCAAAUUCCUUCAUUUUAAUCUAAUUAAAAAUAUAUAAACUAGACAAUGCCAAAUGAGAAAAAGGGACAUAAUUAUCCAUACCGGGAAGCUGCCAUUUACACACUGGAUGCUAAGUUCACUGUAAGGCGUGUGUUGGCCUUUCUGUCCCCAUAGCAAUGACGCUCUAACUGCUGUUAGGAUUCUAACAAUUCACAAAGGCAACUGAAACUUCAAUUACCUGACGUACUGCAUGUUUGCUCUGCUAGGUCAAACAUAAUGGCCCUUCAGACAUGAAGCAGCAGAAAAAUGAAACUGAUAAUACUCGAACAUUUAAAAACCCUGUGGCUUGAAUGAAAGCAGGACCAGCUACAGGCCAAAUGAGGAAGCCGGUGGGGCCUCUGAGCUUGGGAGAUGCGGGCAUUUAAUCAAACUUAAGGCUGCUUUGCUUGGUGCAAGCACCUCCACACUAGCUAUAUUUCUUGGCUCUAAGUAGGAUCUUCAUUGGCUUGUAAAUUUGAACAAAAGAUAGUUGGAGAAUAAAGUAGAUGGAUUGCGUGGCACCAAAAGCUAGAAAGGGGCAAUGCUGACCUGCUGGAAGCCUGCAGAGCAGAGGCUUCAGGGCAAGAGUAGAGCGAACCCUGCCGGGGAGGCUGGAGGGGGAAACAGCCAUUUCUCUAGCGAAUCCAGGUUGUGCCAUAAAGGCAGAGAAAGGCUGGGAGGCUGUAGCUGGAGGCCCUGGCUGUGGCUGUGAGGGGCAUUUAGUAUUUUCCAGGGGUUGUCUGAGGUGACUCGAGGAAAAGCAUUCUUUUGCACAAUGUGAGGGCCUCACCAGGGUCGGAGGGCCCCUCUCGCUCAAAGCAGAGCUUCGCCUGGAGGCUGAGGAAUGAGUGUCAAGUGGCUCUUGAUGUGCAGGCGUUUAAGAAGUGAACCCCAAGCCAUUUAGUGGACUUCUUUCACUGCUAUCUCCCUAGGUGUGUUUGACGCCAGAGGCUGGUUCAAUAAAAUCCUUAUUUGGUACUAAGUGCGGGGGGUGGGGGGAUCCUUGGUCAAGUAACUUGGAAACUGGCAGGAGUUAAAUCCCAUUUCGGCUCCAGAGGCCGAGGCUCUCCUGUGCUAAUUCGCACAGUGAACUUCCAGCAGGUCAAUUACAUGAACAGCAGAGUCUACACCCCCAGAGAAGCACGAGCCCUCUCUGCUGGAGAGGGACCGCGUGUCCUGGGAAUAUACCGGCAGGGCAGGGGCCCUGCUGGAGGGCAGAAGGCCUGGCUCUCUGUGGCCGGAUGUGGGAGGCCUCUGCGCUCCCAAGUGUCCCUUCCAGCAGCACAGUCCCCUCGUGGUACCCGUUCCCACUUGGGCUACUGGUACUGAAUCCUUGCAGAGGUUCGAGCUGAUCAUCUAAAAUGGUAUGAAAACAUGGAAAACCAAACCAAUCACUUACGACACAAAGGAAGGAAGCGUCAGCAGCAGGAUUCAGGCACCUUUAUUCACAGCAGGUGUUUCUGGUCUCCCGAGCUUGCUCUGACACCUGCCCAGGACCUAAGGAAGCUGACGCCCUCUGCCCGACUGUUCCCUUGCCACAUCCCAGUCCCGGGCGCAUCCCACACACGGCUCCGUUUAGUCCUCAGAAUCCAGCCGGCUCCGGGCUCUCAGGGCUACACCUCGGAGCAUGACCUACUGGCCCGGCAAAGGAGUUUCUGUGGCGCCAUAACGACAGUGGGGAAUCCAUUUCAUCCCAGGAGAAAUCCACUCCUUUGUGUUCCCCGUAAAAUUUAUAAACAGGACAAAUUAUUCCUUAAUAUUAUUAUAUAUGUGCAAUACAAACAAUUGAGACUGGUGACACAGGAAAACUCUGAAAACACACACCCUGUUGACGAAGGGUUUCCCUCUCCAAAGCACAGUGGCCAUUGCUCACAUCACCCCGCCGGGACGGCCCCGGGACGGCCUCGCGGGCCUCCUCCUGUCAGCGCUGGCCUCCAGGCUCACCCUCCUGCUAAGCUGCAAGGGUGAGUGUCUCCCGGCACCCAUAACAAAACCAUUGCUCUGCUGGGAUUUAGGUAAGAAAGAGUUUUCAGAAACAGAGUUCCUUAAAAACUCGAGCCUCUAACAAAUCACUUCUCAUCUCCUAGCCAAGUCACUGGCCGGACUGGACACGGUCUGCUCUUCUUGCCUGUCUCUUUGCCCAGCCAGGAGCUCAAGACACGAAGCAGCAGAGUCGUCCAAUCCCGCCAGAUUUCCUAUGGGAACUACUGCCGAUGGACAAAGCACGGCCUACUGAAGUGCUCAAACGUCAUGCAAAACUCUAACUACGAAAGGCCUCCGGACACCAGGCAAUUUUGCUACUUUCCAUGUUUAAGAAUUCUAACCUAAGUGGCAGUGGUCACUCUUUGUCACUGUAGCAUCUGACCUCAGGGACUCGGACAUAAAAUCACGGUUCAAUUCCGAGGUUGGGUGGCACAGUAGUGUCAGAUAGUUCUGAACACACAAUUUGACAUGUUUUCAACCACCUGAAACUCUAUCAGCACACUAUUUGGUGUUCAUUGAACAGUCACGGUCUGAGAAUUAAAGAACCCUAACUAUAAAUGUUUCACGUCACAAAACCUAAUUAUAACUGAGGAUCUACUCCACGUCUAAUUAAAAGAACUACACAACGACUUUCAUCCAACAGCAACUGCUACGAAGGGAAAGAUAGGAAAAAACCGACUGCACAAAAAUACACUAAAAAAUUGGACAAUUGUUCGCAGGAACUGCCAAAGUUUUAGUGUUUAAUAGCACAACUGACCAAGGUCCAAGAUAGGAAGUUACCAUGUUCAGGAAACACGGGGGGUGGGGGGGAGAGGUCACUCUAUAACCUAACUCUAUAGUAUGUGGCAAGAAGAAUGCACACUUUAUAAUAUAAAACCUGUCUACACAUAGUAGUUAGUUGCAAAAAGCCAUCCGUCGUCUCUUGGCUUGUAAAAAGGGUGUUCUGGAUUUCAGUGCAAUUGAGCCACCUGUCGGAAAAGGGAAAGUCAUCAACGUGCCAGUCAUUCUCUAAGGAUAAAUGAAAAAUAACACACAGAAUGAGCAGCCACGUUCUCAAUCCUCCUACUUUACGCAGUAUCCUAGCAAAAACACACGGGAAGUCUUUGUUAAAGAGAUGAGCGUGGAUCUUCUUCCUCCUCCCACUCUCUGCCACUGUUCCCCGCCCGUGACAUUCCUCGGCCCUCCCGACAGUGUUCUCAUUCACUCCGUGGGGUUUCUGAUGCCAAAUGAUAGUGAGAGCCAGAGAAACGCCUAAGACGGGCAGGACACUGCCCAAGGUUCCUGGGUAGAGGAUCCAAGAUGAUAAGCCCCGUAAAACUACUAUGUGAUUUACUUACAUAGCGAAUCCACCUAAGCUACUGUUAACAACAAACUGGAAAGUCUUUACCUCUCAAACCUCUAUUUAUUUUCUUGGACUUCUGAGUUGCAGUGAGGUAACCACCACUCUCAGGAAAGGGCUUCUCAUGAAAGAAACCCCGGUGAAAAGAGGGCAGGCACAUGUGUGUCUAGCUAUUUUGCUACAGAGGGCAUUUUUGAUGACCAGUCUCCACGCUGAUAUGUGUGACUAUACAAUGGAAAUUUACAUCAUCUCCAGGAUGAAGGCUUAGUGUGGCCAGGAUCCAGGUCAUGUAAGUCACAAUCAGCCACUGUCCUGGCAUUUGUCUAGUGUGGGGGGUAUUUCCAAGAGAAUCCUUACAACUUACGGCAGCAAUGAAGAUGGCAAUGUGGGUGUUAUCUUUAAAAAAAACCAACAAACCAAAAACCCACUGGAAAAAUCUGCCAGGGACCAAAAAUCUGCCAAGGCCAACAAAACAGACCUCUUUUCUUCUGGCUGUAAUGAUAUAAACUCAGUGGUUAUCUAAUAUUAACCAAUGGUCUUAACUAAUAGGGAUCUAGGUCUAAUUGACAAAAGUAGGGAAAAUAAGUUUUACAUAAAGAAUUAGUUGAAUCCUCGAGGGUGGGGACAUGAAAGGCCUCUUAUCCAGUGAUGCUUGCUGGAUCACCGCUAGGCUGUGGACAGACCUAGAGGAAGUGUGACUACAUCCACAUCACACAGACACACACCGCACUUCUCCUGCCCCGCCCCUCACCUUCAACUUUUCUGUGUGGCGGGGAUCUUGUUGUCGCCUUCCAGCUCUUCCACCCCAGCCUGUGUCAUGAGGUCUGCAAUGUUUUUUUCCAGGUCAUCAAUGCGACUGCUCAUGUCAUCAAGUGGGGGAGUUAAAGACAACGCACCACAGCUGCCAUUUCUUCGCCCUCGCCUCCAGGGCCCUGCAGACCACAGCCUUCAACGCCAGUGCCUUUUUUUUUUCUUUUUCGGCCACACCCACAGCAUACGGAAGUUGGAAGUUCGGGGGGCCAGGGAUUGAAUCCAAGCCAAAGCUGCGACUUACGACACAGCUGUGGCAACACCAGAUCUGUUAACACACUGUGUGGGGCUGCGUAUUGAACCUGCACCACCACAGAGACAACCCUGGACGCUGAAGCCACUGUGCCACAGAGGGAACUCCAACAUCGUGUUGUAAUGAAAGUGGUUUCCCAACCACCUUUGGAUACUGUUGGAAUUUGGUUAAGAGCACAGGAGCCCGGGCUAAGGAUCCAAUCCCAGCCCUGCCCUUUACUAGUGAUGGGACGUGGGCAAGCUCUUCACUUCUCUAAGCUGCCUGUUUCUUCACCAGCUACAUAAAGGUAACACUAUAACCUCCUCAUCAGGUUAUGGCCGGAGCAAAGCAGACAGUAAUUAUUAUAAAACGCUUGGCUCGCAGUCAACAAUCAUACUCGACAGUGUUACCGGUGGACUCGAAGUUCCUUGGGGCCAGGGAGCUAGGUCGGCUGCAAUCCCAGCUCUUUCCACUGGACACUUUGGGAAGAAUACCUCCAAACUCAGUAAAAAAAUGUAAAUGACCGGCGGAAGUUGACCUGCAAACCACCCACUUAUGGCCACCACCACCGGGAAAUUGGGAUCCAAAGGCCCAUAAGAAGCUGCCUACAAAUAAAGGAUAUUUCUUCCAAUGAUCUGGUCGGACAUGGUCUGAAAUUUAUCUUGCAUCUGUUGCAGGAGUGUCUGCACCUACGAAACAACAAGACACGACACCCCACGCUUAUCCUGAGACAACUUCACGGGACAGGGUGGAGGCCCUGGUCCCAGGGGGAGAU